AUUACCGAGUGAGGGCCCUCUGGGUCCAACCUCCCACCCGUGUUUAUUUUACCUUGUUGCUUCGGCGGGCCCGCCUUAACUGGCCGCCGGGGGGCUCACGCCCCCGGGCCCGCGCCCGCCGAAGACACCCUCGAACUCUGUCUGAAGAUUGAAGUCUGAGUGAAAAUAUAAAUUAUUUAAAACUUUCAACAACGGAUCUCUUGGUUCCGGCAUCGAUGAAGAACGCAGCGAAAUGCGAUACGUAAUGUGAAUUGCAAAUUCAGUGAAUCAUCGAGUCUUUGAACGCACAUUGCGCCCCCUGGUAUUCCGGGGGGCAUGCCUGUCCGAGCGUCAUUGCUGCCCUCAAGCCC
RNAcentral lists this unclassified non-coding RNA (350 nucleotides) under Penicillium biforme. RNAcentral describes it as "sequence contains 18S rRNA gene, ITS1, 5.8S rRNA gene, ITS2". The stretch from base 181 to 333 matches the Rfam family "5.8S ribosomal RNA". Lineage: Eukaryota; Fungi; Ascomycota; Eurotiomycetes; Eurotiales; Aspergillaceae. The record is from RNAcentral.